GACGAACGCUGGCGGCGUGCCUAAUACAUGCAAGUCGAACGCUGAAGAGAGGAGCUUGCUCUUCUUGGAUGAGUUGCGAACGGGUGAGUAACGCGUAGGUAACCUGCCUUGUAGCGGGGGAUAACUAUUGGAAACGAUAGCUAAUACCGCAUAACAAUGGAUGACACAUGUCAUUUAUUUGAAAGGGGCAAUUGCUCCACUACAAGAUGGACCUGCGUUGUAUUAGCUAGUAGGUGAGGUAAUGGCUCACCUAGGCGACGAUACAUAGCCGACCUGAGAGGGUGAUCGGCCACACUGGGACUGAGACACGGCCCAGACUCCUACGGGAGGCAGCAGUAGGGAAUCUUCGGCAAUGGGGGCAACCCUGACCGAGCAACGCCGCGUGAGGGAAGAAGGUUUUCGGAUCGUAAAGCUCUGUUGUAAGUCAAGAACGGGUGUGAGAGUGGAAAGUUCACACUGUGACGGUAGCUGACCAGAAAGGGACGGCUAACUACGUG
This 497-nucleotide ribosomal RNA is filed under the name uncultured bacterium. Its description in RNAcentral is "partial 16S ribosomal RNA". It matches the Rfam family "Bacterial small subunit ribosomal RNA", at positions 28 to 507 of the family's 1533-position model. The record is from RNAcentral.